RNAcentral lists this unclassified non-coding RNA (627 nucleotides) under Hevea brasiliensis (rubber tree). The record is from RNAcentral. Lineage: Eukaryota; Viridiplantae; Streptophyta; Magnoliopsida; Malpighiales; Euphorbiaceae.
UUCAGGUGGUUAUAUGCAUGGUACAGGAACAUACAUCGGUCCUGAUAAUUUGACUUACAAGGGACGAUGGAAAUUAAAUUUGAAACAUGGUUUAGGUUAUCAAGUCUACCCAAAUGGAGAUGUUUUUGAAGGUUCUUGGAUGCAGGGAACACCUGAAGGGCCCGGUAAGUAUACAUGGGCUAAUGGAAAUGUUUAUUUGGGGAAUAUGAAAGCAGGGGGGAUGUCGGGGAAAGGAACCCUUACUUGGAUCAAUGGUGACUCAUUUGAAGGAAACUGGCUGGGUGGCAUGAUGCAUGGGUUCGGGGUAUACAUGUGGAGUGAUGGCGGCUGCUAUGUGGGGACGUGGACUAGGGGCCUGAAGGAUGGAAAAGGGUCAUUCUAUCCAAAAGGAAGCCGCCUUCCAGCAGUUCAAGAAAUUUACCUGAAGGCUUUAAGAAAAAGAGGGUUGUUACCUGAUUUAAAAAACAAAAACCAUGCACAUAUUCAUCAUGCUACUUCCGGGGAUAUGGGAAAUUUCAAGGUUGGUGAGAACCAGCAAUCCUCUCGUGGUUCUUCUGAUAAGAUCUCAAAGGGCAGUCUGUUAAAUCUGGAACAGUAUCGCACUAAAAAUGUUUCCCUUGAAAGGCG